RNAcentral lists this long non-coding RNA (600 nucleotides) under Coffea arabica (coffee). RNAcentral describes it as "long non-coding RNA (CARA_LNC002246)". Lineage: Eukaryota; Viridiplantae; Streptophyta; Magnoliopsida; Gentianales; Rubiaceae. The record is from RNAcentral.
UUUGUCGGUGACUCGAGCGAUUCCCCAAACACCGCUACGCACACAUCGUGUCACGGCUACGUGUUUGAGUGAAUCUAUCAAAAUUCUCAACCUUCGACUAAAAGCUAAAGGCUAUCAACCCAAAGCUUAAAGCGGAAGAUUGAGUGACCCCUCGGAUCAUGCUACGCACACAUCGUGUCACGAUCACACGUCCAAGUGGGUCGCCUAAUCCUAAUAGGGUGGAGUGGCGUGACAAGCCACUAAAAGAAAAAUAAAUGAGGGACAAAAAAUAAUAAAAGCGUAUGCACGUAUGCAAGUGCUUCGUUUGGAGGGAAGGGAUCGAGAACCAACGUGAGGCUCUAGGGUAAAAUCCCCCACCCAAAUGCAAUGCAAAGCGCGGUACAAACAAGUAAAUAAAUAAACCAUUCAUCAGAUACACGAAAGACGAAGAACGAAUACGUGUGAAACGCAAAACAUCCUAAAAAAGAAAAAUGCAACCUAAAACAUCCAAAUAUGAUAAAUAAAAAGGAUUAAAAAAGGAAAAGACAACUAAACCAAAUGCUUGGACUCUCUAAGUCCCCAGUGGAGUCGCCAAGUUGUCGCGCCCCAUUUUUCGCGAUG